GGUGGCUCAAUGGUAGAGAGCUUGCCUUGCAUGCAUGAGACCCUGGGUUCAAUUCCUCAGCACCA
Molecule: transfer RNA, 65 nt
Filed under: Dipodomys ordii (Ord's kangaroo rat)
Lineage: Eukaryota; Metazoa; Chordata; Mammalia; Rodentia; Heteromyidae
Rfam family: tRNA
About the family: Transfer RNA (tRNA) molecules are approximately 80 nucleotides in length. Their secondary structure includes four short double-helical elements and three loops (D, anti-codon, and T loops).
Source: Rfam by way of RNAcentral